RNAcentral lists this ribosomal RNA (245 nucleotides) under uncultured bacterium. RNAcentral's name for it is "partial small subunit ribosomal RNA". It matches the Rfam family "Bacterial small subunit ribosomal RNA", at positions 26 to 285 of the family's 1533-position model. The record is from RNAcentral.
AGAAUCAACGCUGGCGGCGUGCCUAACACAUGCAAGUCGAACGAGAAAGUGGAGCAAUCCAUGAGUAAAGUGGCGCACGGGUGAGUAACACGUGACUAACCUACCCUUGAGUGGGGGAUAACCUAGAGAAAUCUGGGCUAAUACCGCAUAAUACCUUCGGGUCAAAGGAGCAAUUCGCUUAAGGAUGGACUCGCGGCCUAUCAGCUUGUUGGUGGGGUAGUGGCCUACCAAGGCGACGACGGGUA